Molecule: ribosomal RNA, 598 nt
Filed under: Trichosporon coremiiforme
Lineage: Eukaryota; Fungi; Basidiomycota; Tremellomycetes; Trichosporonales; Trichosporonaceae
Description: partial large subunit ribosomal RNA
Rfam family: Eukaryotic large subunit ribosomal RNA
Source: RNAcentral
AAACUAACAAGGAUUCCCCUAGUAACGGCGAGUGAAGCGGGAAGAGCUCAAAUUUGAAAUCUGGCAGUCUUCGAUUGUCCGAGUUGUAAUCUAUAGAGGCGUUUUCCGUGCCGGACCGUGUCCAAGUCUCCUGGAAAGGAGUAUCAAAGAGGGUGAUAAUCCCGUACUUAACACGACCACCGGUGCUCUGUGAUACGUCUUCUACGAGUCGAGUUGUUUGGGAAUGCAGCUCAAAAUGGGUGGUGAAUUCCAUCUAAAGCUAAAUAUUGGCGAGAGACCGAUAGCGAACAAGUACCGUGAGGGAAAGAUGAAAAGCACUUUGGAAAGAGAGUUAAACAGUACGUGAAAUUGUUGAAAGGGAAACGAUUGAAGUCAGUCGUGUUCUUUGGAUUCAGCCAGUUCUGCUGGUCUACUUCCUUUGAACGGGUCAACAUCAGUUUUGUCCGGUGGAUAAAGGCAGUAGGAAUGUAGCUUCUCCGGAAGUGUUAUAGCCUAUUGUCACAUACACUGGGUGAGACUGAGGACUGCAGCUCGCCUUUAUGGCCGACCUUCGGGUACGUUCGAGCUUAGGAUGUUGACAUAAUGGCUUUAAACGACC